UACGAAGGGGGCUAGCGUUGUUCGGAAUUACUGGGCGUAAAGCGGGUGUAGGCGGAUCUUUAAGUCGGAGGUGAAAGCCAGGGCUCAACCCUGGAAUUGCCUUCGAUACUGGAGGUCUGGAGUGUGGGAGAGGUGAGUGGAAUUCCGAGUGGAGAGGUGAAAUUCGUAGAUAUUCGGAGGAACACCAGAGGCGAAGGCGGCUCACUGGACCACUACUGACGCUGAGACCCGAAAGCGUGGGGAGCAAACAGG
This 252-nucleotide ribosomal RNA is filed under the name uncultured bacterium. RNAcentral's name for it is "partial 16S ribosomal RNA". It matches the Rfam family "Bacterial small subunit ribosomal RNA", at positions 524 to 776 of the family's 1533-position model. The record is from RNAcentral.